GUGACUGCGUACCUUUUGUAUAAUGGGUCAGCGACUUAUAUUCUGUAGCAAGGUUAACCGAAUAGGGGAGCCGGAGGGAAACCGAGUCUUAAUUGGGCGUUAAGUUGCAGGGUAUAGACCCGAAACCCGGUGAUCUAGCCAUGGGCAGGUUGAAGGUUGGGUAACACUAACUGGAGGACCGAACCGACUAAUGUUGAAAAAUUAGCGGAUGACCUGUGGCUGGGGGUGAAAGGCCAAUCAAACCGGGAGAUAGCUGGUUCUCCCCGAAAGCUAUUUAGGUAGCGCCUCGUGAAUUCAUCUCCGGGGGUAGAGCACUGUUUCGGCUAGGGGGCCAUCCCGGCUUACCAACCCGAUGCAAACUGCGAAUACCGGAGAAUGUUAUCACGGGAGACACACGGCGGGUGCUAACGUCCGUCGUGAAGAGGGAAACAACCCAGACCGCCAGCUAAGGUCCCAAAGUCAUGGUUAAGUGGGAAACGAUGUGGGAAGGCCCAGACAGCCAGGAUGUUGGCUUAGAAGCAGCCAUCAUUUAAAGAAAGCGUAAUAGCUCACUGGUCGAGUCGGCCUGCGCGGAAGAUGUAACGGGGCUAAACCAUGCACCGAAGCUGCGGCAGCGACACUGUGUGUUGUUGGGUAGGGGAGCGUUCUGUAAGCCUGUGAAGGUGUGUCGUGAGGCAUGCUGGAGGUAUCAGAAGUGCGAAUGCUGACAUAAGUAACGAUAAAGCGGGUGAAAAGCCCGCUCGCCGGAAGACCAAGGGUUCCUGUCCAACGUUAAUCGGGGCAGGGUGAGUCGACCCCUAAGGCGAGGCCGAAAGGCGUAGUCGAUGGGAAACGGGUUAAUAUUCCCGUACUUGGUGUUACUGCGAAGGGGGGACGGAGAAGGCUAUGUUGGCCGGGCGACGGUUGUCCCGGUUUAAGCGUGUAGGUGUGUGUUCCAGGUAAAUCCGGUUCACUUUAACACUGAGGCGUGACGACGAGGCACUACGGUGCUGAAGCAACAAAUGCCCUGCUUCCAGGAAAAGCCUCUAAGCAUCAGGUAACAUCAAAUCGUACCCCAAACCGACACAGGUGGUCAGGUAGAGAAUACCAAGGCGCUUGAGAGAACUCGGGUGAAGGAACUAGGCAAAAUGGUGCCGUAACUUCGGGAGAAGGCACGCUGACACGUAGGUGAAGUGAUUUACUCAUGGAGCUGAAGUCAGUCGAAGAUACCAGCUGGCUGCAACUGUUUAUUAAAAACACAGCACUGUGCAAACACGAAAGUGGACGUAUACGGUGUGACGCCUGCCCGGUGCCGGAAGGUUAAUUGAUGGGGUCAGCGCAAGCGAAGCUCCUGAUCGAAGCCCCGGUAAACGGCGGCCGUAACUAUAACGGUCCUAAGGUAGCGAAAUUCCUUGUCGGGUAAGUUCCGACCUGCACGAAUGGCGUAAUGAUGGCCAGGCUGUCUCCACCCGAGACUCAGUGAAAUUGAACUCGCUGUGAAGAUGCAGUGUACCCGCGGCAAGACGGAAAGACCCCGUGAACCUUUACUAUAGCUUGACACUGAACAUUGAGCCUUGAUGUGUAGGAUAGGUGGGAGGCUUUGAAGUGUGGACGCCAGUCUGCAUGGAGCCGACCUUGAAAUACCACCCUUUAAUGUUUGAUGUUCUAACGUGGACCCGUUACCCGGGUUGCGGACAGUGUCUGGUGGGUAGUUUGACUGGGGCGGUCUCCUCCUAAAGAGUAACGGAGGAGCACGAAGGUUGGCUAAUCCUGGUCGGACAUCAGGAGGUUAGUGCAAUGGCAUAAGCCAGCUUGACUGCGAGCGUGACGGCGCGAGCAGGUGCGAAAGCAGGUCAUAGUGAUCCGGUGGUUCUGAAUGGAAGGGCCAUCGCUCAACGGAUAAAAGGUACUCCGGGGAUAACAGGCUGAUACCGCCCAAGAGUUCAUAUCGACGGCGGUGUUUGGCACCUCGAUGUCGGCUCAUCACAUCCUGGGGCUGAAGUAGGUCCCAAGGGUAUGGCUGUUCGCCAUUUAAAGUGGUACGCGAGCUGGGUUUAGAACGUCGUGAGACAGUUCGGUCCCUAUCUGCCGUGGGCGCUGGAGAACUGAGGGGGGCUGCUCCUAGUACGAGAGGACCGGAGUGGACGCAUCACUGGUGUUCGGGUUGUCAUGCCAAUGGCACUGCCCGGUAGCUAAAUGCGGAAGAGAUAAGUGCUGAAAGCAUCUAAGCACGAAACUUGCCCCGAGAUGAGUUCUCCCUGAGACUUAGAGUCUCCUGAAGGAACGUUGAAGACGACGACGUUGAUAGGCCGGGUGUGUAAGCGCAGCGAUGCGUUGAGCUAACCGGUACUAAUGAACCGUGAGGCUUAACCUUACAACGCCGAAG
This 2365-nucleotide ribosomal RNA is filed under the name Salmonella enterica. RNAcentral describes it as "bacterial LSU rRNA". It matches the Rfam family "Bacterial large subunit ribosomal RNA", at positions 593 to 2925 of the family's 2925-position model. The record is from RNAcentral. Lineage: Bacteria; Pseudomonadati; Pseudomonadota; Gammaproteobacteria; Enterobacterales; Enterobacteriaceae. RNAcentral also lists the same sequence under 2 other names.